GAUGAAGAACGCAGCGAAAUGCGAUAAGUAAUGUGAAUUGCAGAAUUCAGUGAAUCAUCGAAUCUUUGAACGCACAUUGCGCCCGCCAGUAUUCUGGCGGGCAUGCCUGUUCGAGCGUCAUUUCAACCAUCAAGCCCCAGGCUUGUGUUGGAGCCCUGCGGCUGCCGCAGCCUCCCAAAACCAGUGGCGGGCUCGCUAUCACACCGAGUGCAGUAGUUUACUCUUCGCUCAGGGCGUGUGGCGGGUGCUAGCCGUAAAACCCCCAACUUCUCAUGGUUGACCUCGGAUCAGGUAGGAAUACCCGCUGAACUUAAGCAUAUCAAUAAGCGGAGGA
Molecule: unclassified non-coding RNA, 334 nt
Filed under: soil metagenome
Description: partial contains 5.8S ribosomal RNA, internal transcribed spacer 2, and large subunit ribosomal RNA
Rfam family: 5.8S ribosomal RNA (bases 1-120)
Source: RNAcentral